CUGGGUUCCAUCCUCAGUGCCACAAAUAAGGAGAGAGGAGGAGGGGCUGUUACCCUCCUUCCAGUGGUCCUGGGGCCCCACGAUGCCACCCCACAUGUGAUCAGCUUCAAACAUUUUGCUUAAGCCAACGGGCCAGAAAUGGGGCCUCUCUGAUUAUGCACCAAGGCCCUGGUGAUCAUGUCAUCCCAGAGGUUGCCACGGCAGUGUCCCUGGCCCCUGGGACUCCAAGCCGUCCAUCAGGGACCCAGAACCACACGCUGAGUGGCCGGAUGAAGAAGCCAGGGAAGCAGCACCAGCCCCAGGGAAGUGGGGGACAUCCUUCGUGGGCCGGGCUGGGCAGCAGGGAAUAGGGCAGGGCGGGCAGGGGAGGGGCUCCACAGGCUGCGGAGAGGGAUUAUAUAUUCAUCAGAAUCUUAAACAAAAGCCCUGCAGCCGCCUGUCAGCCGCGCUAUGGCUUUUAUGGUAAUCAGCGAUGAAUUACCCACAAUGCCUGGCCAAGCGCAAGUGGUUCUUGGCCCGGAUCCUAAACUAAUUUUUGGAUGUUUGUGUGUAUAUAAUUUUGCUCACUCCCUCCCGCUCCUUUCCUUCAUUAAUGGGAACAGGGAAGCAGGGGGAGACACAAGCAGAAGGAACCCUGAGUGUACAGUGGGGUGCAGCCCUCAUCAAGACCCCUGGCACUCAGGCCUACAUGGCUCCAUGCCCUGGGAGCAGAGUGAGGAGAGGGAGAGGGGAGAGAGGAGGCUGGAAAUCACCAAAAGCCACAACUACUGAAGUCAGGUCUCUGCCAUGUGCUGGGUGACCUUAGCCUGCCCUUCCCUCGGUCUCUUCCCUCUUUUCUGGAAUAGAACCCAGAGCCUUGCACAUGCUAGACAAGCGCUCACCCUGAGCCACCCAGGCUGGCCUCGAACUUGAGGUGAUCCUCCUGCCUCAGCCUCCCAAGUGCUGGGCUUCCAGUUCCGAGCUGGAGUCCCUGCAUCAAGCCGUUCCUGAAGCCAGCGUCCUUGAAUAUGUUUCCUUCAGCUAUGAGAGCCAGCUCCCCUGCUUUUCACUAAGGUCAGUUUGAUUUGGGUUUCUCCACCUUUCGAGCUGAGGACCUACAGCGCUUCCUUAGUAGCUGGGAUGAGGAGCCGAGGGGCUUCAGAAAAGACCAAACCUCUGGGUCUCGGGCCUUUUUCAGUGCCAUUAGCAGAAAGCAACACGCACGCGCCAUCUCUCCCACCUGGGCCCGGGAGCGGUGCCCACCUACUGCGAGAUUCCCCCCCCCCGGCCACUGGCUCAAGACCGAUCGGCACGGUCCAUCUGAGCAGCACCCACCGUGCGCUGGCCCAGCGCUGGACAAAGGAGGCAUCGAUGUCACCCGGGGCUCACGGAGACCCAGCAGAAAGCCCUGGCCACGCCCGGAACACCCGGCCCUGCUCUCCACCCAGGCAACUCCUGUUGGCCAGCACUCCCCAGACCAGCGCCACCUCCUCUAAGACGCCUCCUCUGCCUCCCCUCCCCCAGGCGGUUCUGGGGGCUUCUGUCUUUCCUUGCGUUCAAGACGCACCAGGAUCCGAAGCAUCAACCACAAGGAACGAACAACACCCCGAUUACACCACCGUAACACGAGACUUUGUUCAGGUGGGGAAACUGAGGCCCAGAGAGGCAAAGCACAGAAACAGGGACAGCACCAGCACCAGCACCAGGGUUCAGGCUCUGGACAUGUGGGACAAGAAUUCACCUUCCAGGGCUUCCCAGGGUGAUGGCCCGGACUCCUCAGCCAGAGCCCUGGUGGCCACGGGGAUAAGCAGCUGCCCCGCGGGGCUGAAACGUAGCCAGCGAUGCUCCUGCGAGGGGAGGCCCCGCGUCACGCGUGGGCGGCAGAGCCGGAACUCGGGGCACAGCUAUUUCUGGAGGCCGAGGCGAGAAAGUGGGGGCGGCGGAAGAGCCUCACAGGAACGGGGAGGCUGGGGGCCCCGGCGGGGGGCUCAGGGCCUGGUGUCCUCUGUGGGAAUGGAGAGCCGGGUGCAGAACCCCGAGCCCCUGUGGGCGCCAGAGGAGGAGCCAGGCAGGGAUGCUGUCCCCAACAGGCGACAAGACGCCCGGACAGACUGGCCGGGCCCUGGGGCAAAGCCAAGCUAGGACCUGGAAAUGUGGAGCCGGGUGGACGGCUGGGCUGCAGAUUUAAAUACGCACUCGGAAGCAGGAAGAUCAGCACGAGGCCAAGGCCAACCUGAGUUACACAGUGAGACCCUGCCUGUCUCAAAAAAAAGAAAAGAAAAAGACCUGGAGAAGGGCAAGGAGGGAGUUGUGUCCACAUCGGCAUUGCAGAUCAAUCAAACAACCUGUGCAAAGGCCCUGGGGCGGCAUAGAGCCUGGCAUGGUGCAUGGGCAAUAAGGAUCCCAUGUGGCUGGAGCAGAGAGCACAAGAGGGAGGGAGGGAAGAGAGGUGGGGAGGGGAUGGGUGGGCUGUGCAGGCCCCCAUGGGCUGCCGGGAGGACUUGGGCUUUGGCCCCAGGGAGGUGGGAGCCCUAGAAGGCUCUGUGUGGCAGGGACGCACUGCUUGCUCUCGAGUCCCUGCUGCAGGAGGUGGAUGGUCCAGGAGCCAGACCUGAUGGUGAGGCAGAGCCAAAGGCAGUGACCAGCAGGGAGAGGGAGGAGGCUCCUGAGAGCAAACAGCCACAUCUCCGAGAGCACUGUGUCCUGGGGUUCAUGUGUGACCACCCUGAAGACCAAGUUGGCCUGCAAGUGCCAGAAAAGGCACAGAAGAGGAGCCCCCAGAAUGAUUCAGAUGGUGCCGACAGCUGCAAAGGAUACCAGGAAAUGUCUUCCUUCCUCUCCCUGGUGACCAUGUGUCCAGAUAAAAAUUGUAGAGUCCAAUUGUUAUAGAGCAUGGGACAUGAAGGGCUGUUGGGAGACCCCACCAGAAACGGGUGACCUCGGGGCCACAUCUUAGAUUUCAAGCCAGCACAUCUGAGAAACUCUGCCCCAACUGUGACGGCUUUCACGGAUCCCCAGGGUGCAGGCCUGGCUCAGCUAAGCCCAAGGUUCAGGUCAGUGCCCACAGGCUGGGCCCCCUGCAGCCCCCUAUCCUGCCUCACCCCUGCCUGUCGAGGACCCAGGGCAAUUCAUCUCCUUCUCCUCCAUAAACAACUGUCAGGGAAAAUAAAUAGUUUUUAAUAGGCUCAUUAAUUGAAUUCAGGAAGAAAUCUCCUCUCCCCAGCUGAGCGGGAGGAACUGGGCAGAGAUGGAGAAUCUUAAUGGCCAGAGGCAGCGGGCACCCCAGGCCCCUCUGCCCACCGUGCUGUGCCCCAGCCCCGCCAGUUCUGUCCCGGCUGCGAAGGGCCACAGCCUUACACUGGGCAGCAGGGAUGGAAAAGGAUUUAAUAUCAUUCUUUUUUCUUGCAAUACUGGGGGUGGAACUGAGGGCCUCUGCAUUGAGCUCCAUCUUGACCCUUCUUAUUUUUUAUUUUAGACAAGUAUCCUUAAAUUGUCCAGCCUGGACUAGAACUUGAGAUCCUCCCGUCUCAGCCUCCCAAGUGCUCAGAUGACAGGCCUGCACCACUGCACCCAGCUGAAAUCUGUGUUCUUUUUCUUUUUUUUUUUGGUACUGGGGAUCAAACUCAGGAUCUUGCACUUAUCUGUGUUGAGGGUCAAAUUCAACCUUGAGAAAGACCAGCUGGUUCUGGCUGAGUCUUCCACUUGUCUCACUCUGCACUGAGCUCUUUCUGGGGUCCCAGCCCCUCUGGGCUCCCCCAGAGGCCAGAAAUGGCACGGGCCGACUCUGGGCCCCUCACCUCCAGCACCUGUCCACAGGCCCGCCCCCCCCGGCUUGUGUGCUCCCCAUUCCGUCCAUCGUGGCUCUGCACACAGCUCAGAGGGCGCUCAAGGCCCAGAGAGGGCGAGCAUGCGCCCGAGGCCACACAGCAUCUCCGCUCUGGGGCUGCUUUCCGGCCCCUGCCCAAGGGCGGGGAGAGAUGAGCAGCAGUGUGGCCCCUUCCUGCGAUGCCGCCUCUGCCCCGUUGUCAGGGUGGGAUGCGGGCACCAGCCUCCAGGAGCCCAAGGAGGGCGUCCCCCAUCACCGCCCGCCGCAUGGCUGACGGGGCCACCCAGGCUGGCGCAGGAGCCGGGCCUGGUGGAGAGAGUGGGUUGGAGGGGGUGACAGGAGCUGGGCACGGCCUGUGAUCCCGGCACUCCAGGAGGCUGAGGCAGGAGGGCCACGAGAUGGAGCCCAGCCUGGGCAAUUUAAGUGUGCGUGCCUCAGUGUGCCCAUUUGCAGGACAAGGUGACGCCCAGGGCUACUCCAGGGUAGAACUGGGAAGCACAGGUGGGCUGGGCACCUGGGGCCUCACUCUCCCCUCAGGUCCGGUCCUCUGAGACUGUCUGGGGGGAUCCCCAAAUCCCCGAGCACCCGAAAGGCAUCCAGCCCCUCCCCACAGAGGCGGCAGGUGAGAUUCUGCCCCACUUCACAGAUGAGAAAACUGAGGCCGUGGGAAGGGAAUAUCGGGGUGACCCCCCAGAGCCAGUAAAAGGACUGCAUCAGGAGUCCAGCCCCGGGCUUUCAGAGCCCCCAAACCCUUCCCCAGCAGGGCCAGCAUCUGGGUGCCAAGGAGCAACAUGAAAAGUCUGGGUCCUGGCAGCCUUUCUGUGCCCAGUUGGUUUCAGGAGGUGCAGACGGCGCUGUCACUGGAAACCACAAUCAGUCCCACUUGCUAAAAUCCACCAGACUGGGCUGAGGAUGUAGCUCAGUGGUGCUGCACCUGCUGGCAAGGGCAAGGUCCUGAGUUCAAUCCCUGGCACAAAAAAAUAAUAAUAAAAUAAAAUCCACCAGACAGUUACCCACUCCCAUAGUCAACUAGGCGGCAGGACCUGGAUGGGCGAGGAGCCCGUGGAGAUCCAAGCACCGUGACUCAGGCAGUGCACAGGGUGUGUGUGCUGCUGGCUGCCUCAUUUCUCUCUCUGCCUUGGGUCUUAGGAUAAAUCAAGAGUUUUCAAAUCACUGCGCCAUUGUGCACACUGGGGCCAGGCAUGCUGUGGAUGUCCCGGGCACUGCAGGCUGCUGAGCCCCCAUGGCUCCAGGCCAGCAGCUCCCCCAGUGUGACAGCCACCGAUGUCCCCAGACACGGCCUCCCCAGGACAGAAUCACCCCAGGCCGAGCAGAGCCACAGCGGCUCUGAGAAGAGGAGGAAAACAGUGGGCCCAGGACUCCACGAGGCAUUUAAUUUAAAUCAGGCCUCUCCUGACAGCCGAGAUUAAUCUAAUCAGAGGCGACUAUCGAGCCAGACGGCGCGAUCUGUUUCCCAGGGUUGCCCAGUGAGGCGUGGGACCCGAAAACCCAUUUCACAGCCCAGGAAACUGAGGCUCAUAGAGGCCAUCAGAGGCCACGUGACUGACAAAUGAUAAGGAAGGGGUCAAAGCCCAUGGGAGCUGGGUAUGGCAGCACACGUCUGUCACCCCAGCCCUCUGGGAGGCUGAGGCAGGAGGGUUGCAAG
Non-coding RNA from Heterocephalus glaber (naked mole-rat), 5471 nucleotides. The record is from RefSeq and is a predicted model, not a curated record. NCBI's taxonomy places the organism in Eukaryota, Metazoa, Chordata, Mammalia, Rodentia, Bathyergidae.